This is a non-coding RNA of Caenorhabditis elegans, 81 nucleotides long. NCBI's taxonomy places the organism in Eukaryota, Metazoa, Nematoda, Chromadorea, Rhabditida, Rhabditidae. The record is from Ensembl.
UGAGCCUAGGCUUAAGCCUAAGCCUAAGCCUAAGCCUAAGCCUGAGCCUAAGCCUAAGCCUAAACCAAAGCCUAAGUCUAA